Molecule: long non-coding RNA, 437 nt
Organism: Cyprinus carpio (common carp)
Lineage: Eukaryota; Metazoa; Chordata; Actinopteri; Cypriniformes; Cyprinidae
Exons: 3
Source: RefSeq, a predicted model, not a curated record
UUGCUGGCUUUGAGAUCUUUGAUUUCAACAGCAUGGAGCAGCUGUGCAUCAACUUUCACUAAUGAGAAACUGCAACAGUUUUUCAACCACCACAUGUUUGUGCUGGAACAAGAGGAGUACAAGAAGGAGGGCAUUGUUUGGGAGUUCAUUGACUUUGGCAUGGACUUGGCUGCUUGCAUUGAGCUCAUUGAGAAGCCCAUGGGUAUCUUCUCCAUCCUUGAAAGAGGAGUGCAUGUUCCCCAAGGCUACAGACACUUCCUUCAAGAACAAGCUGUAUGAUCAGCAUCUUGGCAAGUGCAAUGCUUUCCAGAAACCAAAGCCUGCCAAAGGCAAGGCUGAGGCCCAUCUUCUCCCUGGUCCACUACGCUGGAACUGUGGACUACAACAUUUCUGGCUGGUUGGACAAGAACAAGGAUCCACUGAACGAGUCUGUUGUG